AACGCGAAGAACCUUACCAAAUCUUGACAUCCUUUGAAAACUCUAGAGAUAGAGCCUUCCCCUUCGGGGGACAAAGUGACAGGUGGUGCAUGGUUGUCGUCAGCUCGUGUCGUGAGAUGUUGGGUUAAGUCCCGCAACGAGCGCAACCCUUAAGCUUAGUUGCCAUCAUUAAGUUGGGCACUCUAGGUUGACUGCCGGUGACAAACCGGAGGAAGGUGGGGAUGACGUCAAAUCAUCAUGCCCCUUAUGAUUUGGGCUACACACGUGCUACAAUGGACAAUACAAAGGGCAGCUAAACCGCGAGGUCAUGCAAAUCCCAUAAAGUUGUUCUCAGUUCGGAUUGUAGUCUGCAACUCGACUACAUGAAGCUGGAAUCGCUAGUAAUCGUAGAUCAGCAUGCUACGGUGAAUACGUUCCCGGGCCUUGUACACACCG
RNAcentral lists this ribosomal RNA (435 nucleotides) under uncultured bacterium. RNAcentral's name for it is "bacterial SSU rRNA". It matches the Rfam family "Bacterial small subunit ribosomal RNA", at positions 958 to 1392 of the family's 1533-position model. The record is from RNAcentral.